GUCAGACCUCUGAGGCAGAGCGCUUGAGCUCUUGCCUGAUAAUCUCACUUCUGGAGGUCGUCCUCAGGAUAAAAGAAAGGAUAAGAAGGGUAAAAUAUAAAGCCUCCAUAGUAUAAUUUAAAAUAGUUAAAACUUGUAAGCAGUUUAUAUGACCUCAGAUUACGACCUCAGUCAGCAAACGUGGCCUUGUGCUCAGUCACUUCAUUCGUGUCCAACUCUUUGCGACCCCAUGGACUGUGGCCCGUCCGGCUCCUCUGUCCAUGGGAUUCUCCAGGCAAAACACUGGAUUGGGUUGCCAUGCCCACCACCAGUGGAUUUUCCUGACCCAAAGACGGCCUACCCAACCAUUAAAGUCAAAUUUAAGAGUAACAUUGAAAAUGCCAUCAAAUAAUAUUUACUGAAAAAAUAAGAUAUAAAGCCAUACAUACAUAUAUUUUUAAAGAUUCUUGGGGUGUGUUUGUAUACAUCUCCGUGUCUUCACAGAAAAGACUGGAAGGAGAUGGAUAGCUAUCCCUCAGUAUCUGCAGGAUUGCUUCCAGGACCUCUCGUGACACCAAAAUUCAGGGCUGAAGUCAUUUAUAUAAAAGGGUGCAACAUUUGCAUGUAGCCCUGGGCCAGGCUGCGGUGGACAGCUGGUGGGCAGCACAUAGGGGCUGGGCUGGGGCGGGGGUUGGGAAGAAAGAAGCUCCCUCACCCUCACAUACCUCUCCUCUGGCCCCCAAAGCUAUUGGAGUUCUUAGAUGUCCUGGAUGACCCAGUGCUGGGCUACCUGCCUCAACGGUCAUCACCAUCCUCACGUCCACCUGUUCUCCUGUGCCGUGGACUACAGGUACCCAGGCUCAGGGACCUGGGGCCUGGGGCUGGGGCCAGGCUCUCAUGGGCAAGGAACCUGCCCCAGCCCAAAUGUGACCCCUUCCUCCCAGGCCCCUCUACCUCCCGUCGUACGUGUCCUUGUCACUGCUGAGACCUUCACCCUCCAGCAACAUCGCCAUGGACACCUCUACCUUCCUGCUCAGGUAUGCAACCCCUCCUACCCAAGCUCCCCAUCCAUCCCACCCCAAGUCGGCUGUAGCUACCCUUCCCCAGGGUCCCACAUGCCUGCUGUGUGUCCUCAGGCCUCAGGCCUUUCUGUGCAUCUGAGUGAUCCUCUCUGAGGAAGUCAAGGAGGUUUCUACCUAGAGGCAGUCAGACCUCUGAGGCAGAGCGCUUGAGCUCUUGCCUGAUAAUCUCACUUCUGGAGGUCGCCCUCAGGAUAAAAGAAAGGAUAAGAAGGGUAAAAUAUAAAGCCUCCAUAGUAUAAUUUAAAAUAGUUAAAACUUGUAAGCAGUUUAUAUGACCUCAGAUUACGACCUCAGUCAGCAAACGUGGCCUUGUGCUCAGUCACUUCAUUCGUGUCCAACUCUUAUGCACCCCAUGGACUGUGGCCCGUCCGCCCUCUGUCCAUGGGAUUCUCCAGGCAAAACACUGGAUUGGGUUGCCAUGCCCACCACCAGUGGAUUUUCCUGACCCAAAGACGGCCUACCCAACCAUUAAAGUCAAAUUUAAGAGUAACAUUGAAAAUGCCAUCAAAUAAUAUUUACUGAAAAAAUAAGAUAUAAAGCCAUACAUACAUAUAUUUUUAAAGAUUCUUGGGGUGUGUUUGUAUACAUCUCCGUGUCUUCACAGAAAAGACUGGAAGGAGAUGGAUAGCUAUCCCUCAGUAUCUGCAGGAUUGCUUCCAGGACCUCUCGUGACACCAAAAUUCAGGGCUGAAGUCAUUUAUAUAAAAGGGUGCAACAUUUGCAUGUAUCCCAUGUACAUCCUCCCAUAUUCUUUAAGUCAUCUCUAGAUUACUUUUAACACCCAACACAGUGUAAAUGCUACAUAAGUAGUCGCUGCUGCUGCUGCUAAGUCGCCCAGUUGUGUCUGACUCUGUGCGACCCCAUGGACUGCAGCCCACCAGGCUCCCCUGCCCUGGGAUUCUCCAGGAAGAACACUGGAGUGGGCUGCCAUUUCUCCAGUGCAUGAAAGUGGAAAGUGAAAGUAGUUGCUAGCAUGCAACAAAUACAGGUUUUGCUUUUGGAACUUUCUAGGUUUUUGUUGGUUUGUUUGUUUUGGUUCUCUGACCAAGAAUGGAUUUUUAAAAAAUAUUUCUGAUCCGCAGUUGGUUGAAUCCUCAGAAGCAGAACCCACAGAUUGGGAGGGCCAAGGUUCUAUUCUCAGAAUCUGAGAUUAGCUUUAUUCUUAUAUAUUUAAAAGCAGUAGGGAAAAGCAGGACAUUUCCUCCCAGGGCUGCUGUGAGUUCCAUCCAGGUGAGAUGGACAAGCUG
Molecule: long non-coding RNA, 2308 nt
Filed under: Bos grunniens (domestic yak)
Lineage: Eukaryota; Metazoa; Chordata; Mammalia; Artiodactyla; Bovidae
Description: lncRNA (ENSBGRG00000026558.1)
Source: RNAcentral